UACGGAGGGGGCGAGCGUUAUUCGGAAUUAUUGGGCGUAAAGGGCGCGUAGGCGGCUGUACAAGUCAAAGGUGAAAUCCCUCGGCUCAACUGAGGAACUGCCUUUGAAACUGUACGGCUUGAGGCCGGGAGGGGGUAGCGGAAUUCCCAGUGUAGCGGUGAAAUGCGUAGAUAUCCGGAGGAACACCAGUGGCGAAAGCGGCCACCUGGACUGCACCUGACGCUGACACGCGAAAGCUAGGGGAGCGAACGGG
Molecule: ribosomal RNA, 253 nt
Filed under: uncultured bacterium
Lineage: Bacteria
Description: partial 16S ribosomal RNA
Rfam family: Bacterial small subunit ribosomal RNA
Source: RNAcentral